AGGACGAACGCUGGCGGCGUGCUUAAUACAUGCAAGUCGAACGGAAUCGAUUCGGUGGCAACACCGAUGAAAAUUGAGUAGCGAACGGGUGCGUAACACGUGAGCAACCUGCCCCAAAGACUGGGAUAACACCGGGAAACCGGUGCUAAUACCGGAUACCCCACGGAUUCGCAUGGAUCUGUGAGGAAAGGAUUCUGCUUUGGGAGGGGCUCGCGGCCUAUCAGCUUGUUGGUGAGGUAACGGCUCACCAAGGCGACGACGGGUAGCUGGUCUGAGAGGACGAUCAGCCACACUGGGACUGAGACACGGCCCAGACUCCUACGGGAGGCAGCAGUAGGGAAUCUUGCGCAAUGGGCGAAAGCCUGACGCAGCAACGCCGCGUGGGGAUGAAGGCCUUCGGUUGUAACUCCUUUCAGUGGGAACGAAUUGACGGUACCCACAGAGAAGCCCGGCUAACUACGCGCCAGCAGCCGCGGUAA
This 479-nucleotide ribosomal RNA is filed under the name uncultured bacterium. RNAcentral's name for it is "SSU rRNA". It matches the Rfam family "Bacterial small subunit ribosomal RNA", at positions 26 to 523 of the family's 1533-position model. The record is from RNAcentral.